UAUGUGGAAAUUUGGCCUGCUGUGACAGUGACCGCGUUCCUCCUCCUCGCAGGCGAUGUCAAGAUCAAGCCGCUGAACUACAAGCGGCUGUCGCGAGCCACCUCCUUCCCACGGCACGUGGUGAAGGACUGCGUGCAAGAGACCAUCCUCUUGUACUCUUCCCAACUGAAGAACGGGCAGCGCCUCUCCUUCGCCUUCAAGGACAUUGGUGUUCUGUCCUGCAACGACGACCUCCUGUGCAUGCGGUUCUAUUCUGACUGCGUCACAGGGCUGGAGAGCAAGGCCAGCCAGAUUGCGCUGCUUCACACUGUAAGUUGCUGGAGGUUUUGAGGGCUGCUCCCGUGUCUUUGGGAAGCCUAAUGAAGGGUGAGCAACCCGGUCGCCGUUGGCCAGCCUGGACGUGGCAGGACGGUCAAACACCUUUCGCCGUGCUUGCCCCCGCUGACUUCUCCAUUAGCAAAGAAAGUUUCUUCUGGGUCCUUGCCCUACAAAAAGCCCAGCGGUGUUAUUGCGCGGUCUCAGUGUUGGCUGUGCAGCUUCUCCAGAGCAGAGCAAGGGCUAACGCUGAUGGAGGAGGAUUUGGCAGAGAGGUUUGGAGAAGUGGCUUGCUUUUGGAGUGGGAGACAGGUCUGCUUCCUUUGGGAGCCAAGAGGAAACUGCCUUGGAAACCUUCUAACAGCUCUGUGUCACUUUGCAGAGGCUGUGGACGCCAGGGGCAGCUGUCUCCGGUGGAGCGACCGCCGCCCAGGAGAUGCAGGCUGCUCCUGCCCACGCGUUCCCGAGGUUUCAGUUCCUGGUGAUCAGCAGAUCGGCGUCCAAGGCUUUCUCCACCUGGCACAAGAAGGUUGCAGAAAAGCACAGGGUCAGAAGAGGUACGGGAAGGGGUCCCUGCUGUCCAGAGCCCGGUUCAAACGCACUCCCCACGGGGCUGCUCUGAAGAGCUUCCUCCUUUCCCAGGUACAGAGGGAAGCCAGGUGCCUGACAAGCUGCUGCAGAGGCGGGUGAAGUAUUCCCUCCCCGCGCUGCCAAACCAGGGGCCGGGCACCAGGCAGCAAGACACGGAGAAGAAGCCUUCUGCCGGGUGAGACCCCUGUGGGAAGGGAUGAAAGGCACCCUUGCGCCCACGUAGGAGAGGCG
Molecule: long non-coding RNA, 1137 nt
Filed under: Aquila chrysaetos chrysaetos
Lineage: Eukaryota; Metazoa; Chordata; Aves; Accipitriformes; Accipitridae
Description: lncRNA (ENSACCG00020016582.1)
Source: RNAcentral